AAUUGAAGAGUUUGAUCAUGGCUCAGAUUGAACGCUGGCGGCAGGCCUAACACAUGCAAGUCGAGCGGUAGCACAGAGAGCUUGCUCUCGGGUGACGAGCGGCGGACGGGUGAGUAAUGUCUGGGAAACUGCCUGAUGGAGGGGGAUAACUACUGGAAACGGUAGCUAAUACCGCAUAAUGUCGCAAGACCAAAGUGGGGGACCUUCGGGCCUCAUGCCAUCAGAUGUGCCCAGAUGGGAUUAGCUAGUAGGUGGGGUAACGGCUCACCUAGGCGACGAUCCCUAGCUGGUCUGAGAGGAUGACCAGCCACACUGGAACUGAGACACGGUCCAGACUCCUACGGGAGGCAGCAGUGGGGAAUAUUGCACAAUGGGCGCAAGCCUGAUGCAGCCAUGCCGCGUGUGUGAAGAAGGCCUUCGGGUUGUAAAGCACUUUCAGCGGGGAGGAAGGCGAUAAGGUUAAUAACCUUGGCGAUUGACGUUACCCGCAGAAGAAGCACCGGCUAACUCCGUGCCAGCAGCCGCGGUAAUACGGAGGGUGCAAGCGUUAAUCGGAAUUACUGGGCGUAAAGCGCACGCAGGCGGUCUGUCAAGUCGGAUGUGAAAUCCCCGGGCUCAACCUGGGAACUGCAUUCGAAACUGGCAGGCUAGAGUCUUGUAGAGGGGGGUAGAAUUCCAGGUGUAGCGGUGAAAUGCGUAGAGAUCUGGAGGAAUACCGGUGGCGAAGGCGGCCCCCUGGACAAAGACUGACGCUCAGGUGCGAAAGCGUGGGGAGCAAACAGGAUUAGAUACCCUGGUAGUCCACGCCGUAAACGAUGUCGAUUUGGAGGUUGUGCCCUUGAGGCGUGGCUUCCGGAGCUAACGCGUUAAAUCGACCGCCUGGGGAGUACGGCCGCAAGGUUAAAACUCAAAUGAAUUGACGGGGGCCCGCACAAGCGGUGGAGCAUGUGGUUUAAUUCGAUGCAACGCGAAGAACCUUACCUGGUCUUGACAUCCACAGAACUUUCCAGAGAUGGAUUGGUGCCUUCGGGAACUGUGAGACAGGUGCUGCAUGGCUGUCGUCAGCUCGUGUUGUGAAAUGUUGGGUUAAGUCCCGCAACGAGCGCAACCCUUAUCCUUUGUUGCCAGCGGUCCGGCCGGGAACUCAAAGGAGACUGCCAGUGAUAAACUGGAGGAAGGUGGGGAUGACGUCAAGUCAUCAUGGCCCUUACGACCAGGGCUACACACGUGCUACAAUGGCAUAUACAAAGAGAAGCGACCUCGCGAGAGCAAGCGGACCUCAUAAAGUAUGUCGUAGUCCGGAUUGGAGUCUGCAACUCGACUCCAUGAAGUCGGAAUCGCUAGUAAUCGUAGAUCAGAAUGCUACGGUGAAUACGUUCCCGGGCCUUGUACACACCGCCCGUCACACCAUGGGAGUGGGUUGCAAAAGAAGUAGGUAGCUUAACCUUCGGGAGGGCGCUUACCACUUUGUGAUUCAUGACUGGGGUGAAGUCGUAACAAGGUAACCGUAGGGGAACCUGCGGUUGGAUCACCUCCUUA
RNAcentral lists this ribosomal RNA (1539 nucleotides) under Klebsiella pneumoniae CG43. Its description in RNAcentral is "bacterial SSU rRNA". It matches the Rfam family "Bacterial small subunit ribosomal RNA". Lineage: Bacteria; Pseudomonadati; Pseudomonadota; Gammaproteobacteria; Enterobacterales; Enterobacteriaceae. The record is from RNAcentral.